GGGGAAUAUUGCACAAUGGGCGCAAGCCUGAUGUAGCGACGCCGCGUGAGGGAUGGAGGCCUUCGGGUUAUAAACCUCUUUUAUCGGGGAGCAAGCGAGAGUGAGUUUACCCGUUGAAUAAGCACCGGCUAACUACGUGCCAGCAGCCGCGGUAAUACGUAGGGUGCAAGCGUUAUCCGGAAUUAUUGGGCGUAAAGGGCUCGUAGGCGGUUCGUCGCGUCCGGUGUGAAAGUCCAUCGCUUAACGGUGGAUCCGCGCCGGGUACGGGCGGGCUUGAGUGCGGUAGGGGAGACUGGAAUUCCCGGUGUAACGGUGGAAUGUGUAGAUAUCGGGAAGAACACCAAUGGCGAAGGCGAUCUGCUGGGCUUUAACUGACGCUGAGGCACGAAAGCAUGGGUAGCAAAC
RNAcentral lists this ribosomal RNA (405 nucleotides) under uncultured bacterium. RNAcentral describes it as "bacterial SSU rRNA". It matches the Rfam family "Bacterial small subunit ribosomal RNA", at positions 356 to 773 of the family's 1533-position model. The record is from RNAcentral.